GGGGUUGACUGGAUUUGACAGCGGGCAGAGAUGGUAAGUAAGCAUGCAGUGCUUCGUUGAUUGGCACUUAAAUCUCAGUCCUCAAAAUUUUAUCUGGCGAAACUCGUUACGCUCUCGCUGCUUAAUCGAAGUACAGUAGAUUGAAGCUUAAUUUCGGCACAAGGUGCUGAAACGAGACAUCACUCAAAAGCUCUGGCUCCGAAGCAUUUUGGUAAAGUGGUGCAGCUAAAUCGGAGAUAGUUGGCAUUGGCCUCGCGGUGUCGAUGAAGUUUUAGAGGAUAAGGCGUCGGUUGAUGGCUUUGGUUCUGCCGCCGCACGAAAAUUUAGGCAAAGAUAAGCAUGUAGAAAGCUUAUGAUUUCCUCGUUUGGACGAGGGUUCGAUUCCCUCCAGCUCCACAA
This 399-nucleotide transfer-messenger RNA is filed under the name Bacteroidaceae. RNAcentral's name for it is "Mediterranea massiliensis_B Standard tmRNA". It matches the Rfam family "transfer-messenger RNA". Rfam says of the family: Bacterial tmRNA, also known as 10Sa RNA or SsrA, is named for its dual tRNA and mRNA-like properties. Its role is to liberate the mRNA from a stalled ribosome. To accomplish this part of the tmRNA is used as a reading frame that ends in a translation stop signal. Lineage: Bacteria; Pseudomonadati; Bacteroidota; Bacteroidia; Bacteroidales. The record is from RNAcentral. RNAcentral also lists the same sequence under 2 other names.